Molecule: non-coding RNA, 19 nt
Filed under: Arabidopsis thaliana (thale cress)
Lineage: Eukaryota; Viridiplantae; Streptophyta; Magnoliopsida; Brassicales; Brassicaceae
Source: RNAcentral
CGGGCGUCGAACAGUCAGC